CUGAAGACAUGCUAUCGAUGAAAAUAGUUUCAUGCUACAAGGACCUUCUGCUAAAUCAUGCUAUUUUUUAAACAUGUUUAUUACAUUGUGAAAUAAUAGUCUGAGAAAAGGGAAAUUGCAUAAUAUGAAUAGGUUACUAUAGGCUUGAGCAAUCACAUUGAAAAUAUGGCCACUAUGAUGUGAGAGAGUAAAGUUGGCAUGGUUGUAUUUUUUUGGCAAUGGGUUUGGAAAAAGAAAAUAUUUGUGUGACAUGAAUAGGUUACUAUAGGCUUGAGCAAUCACAUAGGACACGAAUUGUAACUAUUUUUUUAAAAAAAGAAUAGACUUGUCCUUCAAAAUAUAUACUUGAGCAUGCAUAAUCUGUUAUGUUAUUCAGGAACAUGGAGGCAUAAGUUUUUUUUAAAAAUACAAACAAAGAAUGAAAUGUAAAUAGUUGCUUAAUGUAAUUAUGCAACAAAUUAGAACAUCGGUGGGUCAAAUAACUGAGCCUGCAAUUAGAAAGUCCAAAUAGCUUACGCUAAAAAUAAGGUAAACAUAGGCGACACAGUAAAAAAGAAGGUAAACAUACGUGAUACAAUAAAGCCUGGUUUGAUGAACUCUAUCGCACACUUUGUGAUGUUUGAUGAAUAAAGCUACCCCUCAAAAAAAAUGACACAAUAAAAUGUACUUAAUACAUGAUAAACAUUUCUUAGAAAUAGUGGUCAAUUACAUCAUAUAAUUUGGUUCUGUACAAAAAAAGUUUCCUCUUUUGUGUAUAUAUCCUAAACACCACCCCUUGCGAUGAACUCUUUGUCUUUGUCCACAAAUUUGGUUAUUCCCCAUCCAGCAUGUCAGUUGCAGUCUCCUGAAGCAUAGGAACAACAUAAGUUAAAACAAUCUGGUCAAACAUACACUAAGAAUAUACUCAUGGGCAUUAUCGACAGAUUAAACCAAAGUUAGAGUGCAGCAGGUUCUCUGUAAAGUCAAGUUACCAUGCGGUUUUUACGAACCAAUGGAGAAAAGCCGAAACACUGAUCCAAGGUUCUACCUAUUCCACUGUAGUAUAUCUCCAAUACCUUUUGCCCCUAUCAAUUUCCUAUCCAAUUGAAAUUGGUAUCCAGAUAGAAGAAGAGAAAGAAAUUGGCACCGCUAGUAAAGAAAAUGGUCGAUCAUGUGGAAGAUCACAUCAGCCCCAUCAGAGUUCAAGAAAUACGUCUUCACCUGCGACACGAAAGAAAUGAGAAAGAAUCAUUCAGUUUUUUCAAACGAUGACAACUUGGUAAAUUCACUUCAUCAACACACUUAUCAACUGUAUCUCAUUUCAGUUUUGG
Molecule: long non-coding RNA, 1310 nt
Filed under: Triticum aestivum (bread wheat)
Lineage: Eukaryota; Viridiplantae; Streptophyta; Magnoliopsida; Poales; Poaceae
Description: long non-coding RNA (TAES_LNC009244)
Source: RNAcentral